This 64-nucleotide transfer RNA is filed under the name Haemaphysalis campanulata. RNAcentral describes it as "tRNA-Ile". Lineage: Eukaryota; Metazoa; Arthropoda; Arachnida; Ixodida; Ixodidae. The record is from RNAcentral.
AGUAAAAUGCCUGAAAUUAAAGGAUUAUCUUGAUAGGAUAAAUUAUGUGCAAACACUUUUACUA